AGUGAACGCUGGCGGUAGGCCUAACACAUGCAAGUCGAACGGCAGCACAGUAAGAGCUUGCUCUUACGUGUGGCGAGUGCCAGACGGGGGGGGAAUACAUCGGAAUCUACUUUUUCGUGGGGGAUAACGUAGGGAAACUGACGCUAAUACCGCAUACGACCUGCGGGUGAAAGCAGGGGAUCUUCGGACCUUGCGCGUUUGAAUGAGCCGAUGUCGGAUUAGCUAGUUGGCGGGGUAAAGGCCUACCAAGGCGACGAUCCGUAGCUGGGCGGAGAGGAUGAUCAGCGACAAUGGAAGUGAGACACGGCGCAGACGCCUACGGCAGGCAGCAGUGGGGAAUAUUGGAGCAUGGGCGCAAGACUGAUCCAGCCAUACCGCGUGGGUGAAGAAGGCCUUCGGGUUGUAAAGCCCCUCUGUUGGGAAAGAAAAGCAGCAGGUUAAUAUCCCGCUGUUCUGACGGUACCCAAAGAAUAAGCGCCGGCUAACUUCGUG
RNAcentral lists this ribosomal RNA (492 nucleotides) under uncultured bacterium. RNAcentral's name for it is "partial 16S ribosomal RNA". It matches the Rfam family "Bacterial small subunit ribosomal RNA", at positions 29 to 507 of the family's 1533-position model. The record is from RNAcentral.